UACAGAGGCCUCAAGCGUUGUUCGGAAUCACUGGGCGUAAAGGGUGCGCAGGCUGCGCAAUAAGUCGACUUGUCAAAUUCAUGCGCUCAACGCAUGAUCGCAGUCGAUACUAUUGCGCUAGAGUGCUGAAGAGGGGAUAAGAAUUCACGGUGUAGCAGUGAAAUGCGUAGAUAUCGUGAGGAAUACCAAAGGCGAAAGCAUAUCCCUGGUAAGCUACUGACGCUCAUGCACGAAGGCUAGGGGAGCAAAUGGG
Molecule: ribosomal RNA, 253 nt
Filed under: uncultured bacterium
Lineage: Bacteria
Description: partial 16S ribosomal RNA
Rfam family: Bacterial small subunit ribosomal RNA
Source: RNAcentral